Molecule: RNA transcript, 2089 nt
Organism: Prosopis cineraria
Lineage: Eukaryota; Viridiplantae; Streptophyta; Magnoliopsida; Fabales; Fabaceae
Gene name: pentatricopeptide repeat-containing protein At4g39620, chloroplastic-like
Exons: 3
Source: RefSeq, a predicted model, not a curated record
CGCUCAACCUAUCUUCUCGUUCCUCUUCAUAUGCGCUACAAGCCUACGACUACAAGGCACACGCAUCCUCAUGGCUUGUAUCAGUAAAUAUUCUGGAAAAUUAGGAAUGGCUUCGAAUCCAUUUCAAUGCCACUCUUUGCAGCUUUCCCAAAUUCCCACGUCUUCUCUUUCUUAUCCAUUGCCCAAUUGCAGGCGAAUCCAGCCAUCACGGUUUCAACUGGCUACACCCACAAUCCGAAUUUCAUGCGUUUCCGUCAGUCGCAAGAGUAAAUCCAGUGACAAAUCCGAAGCUCAAGAGCUGGUUCGCUUGCUUAUGGGCAAGUUUAGUGACAGAGAGCCGAUAUUGAAGACAUUGAACAAGUAUGUGAAGCUGGUAAGAACCGAGCACUGCUUUCUGCUGUUUGAAGAGCUUGGAAAGCAUGAUAAUUGGCUGCAAUGCCUUGAGGUUUUCAGAUGGAUGCAGAAGCAACGCUGGUAUGUUGCUGAUAAUGGGGUUUACUCAAAAUUAAUAUCAGUAAUGGGAAAGAAAGGACAAACGAGACUGGCUAUGUGGCUUUUUACGGAGAUGCGCAAUACUGGCUGCCGCCCAGAUACUUCAGUCUAUAAUGCACUCAUCACAGCCCAUCUUCAUUCACGGGAUAAAACAAAGGCUUUAGCCAAAGCUCUUGGUUACUUUGAGAAGAUGAAAGGAAUGGAACGAUGUAAACCCAACAUUGUAACAUACAACAUUCUGUUGAGAGCUUUUGCCCAAGCUCGGGAUGUGGAUCGAGUAAAUUUCUUGUUUAAAGACCUCAAUGAGAGCAUUGUUUCACCUGACAUUUACACUUUUAAUGGUGUCAUGGAUGCUUACGGAAAAAAUGGGAUGAUCCGAGAAAUGGAAGCUGUACUCUCUCAAAUGAAAAGUAACCAGUGUAAGCCUGACAUAAUCACCUUUAAUCUGCUUAUUGAUUCAUAUGGGAAAAGGCAGCAAUUUGAUAAGAUGGAACAGGUUUUCAAGAGUUUAUUACGCUCCAAAGAGAAACCAACUCUGCCUACAUUUAAUUCAAUGAUUUUGAACUAUGGGAGGGCACGUCUUAGGGAUAAAGCAGAAAAUGCUUAUAAAAAGAUGACUGAGAUGGGUUACAAACCUAGCUUUGUCACUUAUGAGAGUCUAAUCUAUAUGUAUGGUCUAUGUGAUUGCAUUUCCAGAGCCAGAGAGUUAUUUGAUGGGCUGAUUGAGUCAAAAGUUGAGAUAAAAGUUUCAACCCUAAAUGCAAUGCUCGAUGUUUACUGCAUGAAUGGUUUGCCCAUGGAAGCUGAUGCUCUUUUUGAGGGGGCAAGAAGUAUACAAGUUUUUCCAGAUUCAUCAACGUAUAAACUUCUUUAUGGGGCUUAUACUAAAGCCAGUUUGAAGGAGCAUCUAGCUAAAUUGCUAAAGCAUAUGGAUAAAGAUGGUAUUGUCCCUAAUAAGAGAUUCUUCUUGGAUGCUUUGGCUGCUGUUGGGUCUCUACCAGCAACUUCAAAAUCAGAAAAUGCUAGUGCUGAUUCAAGCAAACUACAAGAUCUUGCUAAGGGUCAGCUAUAAAGGUAGUUGGCAGUUCAUGCGAAUGAAACUCCUAAUGAAUAUAUCUACUGGAGACUUGCAUAAAAGAGAAUAGCUCCCUUGUAAGGUGGAUCUGCUAACCUUCAAUACUCUGAUCCUUUUACUUGCAUGCUCAACAACGCCGAAUCAUGAUUUUUUGCAAAGAAAUUUUGUGAGAACGUUGAGUGCAUUUUCGCUUGAUAGUUUAAAGCACUCCGAUCAUUACUGCUGGGGGAGUUUUCAGGCCUAUUUGCUUCUUGGGAAUCGACUAUUGUUACAUGAACUCCAUUCCUCUUUCCCCUCGUUUAUUUAUGAUAUUUAAUAGGAUGAUGUAAACUAAAGACUUUAUUUAGAUGAAAUUUUAUUUUAGGUAGAGCUGUGGUCUGUGGAUGGGACUGUCACAAGAGUGAAACACUGAAUUUUUUUUAAUAGGAUCUUCAUAAACGGAAACAUGAACAUAAACCCUAAACCCUGUUUCUAAGCUUGGCUUAUGUUUUAACUUAUUCCAUCCAUUUUGUUCUUGUCUAA